This 72-nucleotide transfer RNA is filed under the name Anguilla anguilla (European eel). RNAcentral's name for it is "tRNA-OTHER". The record is from RNAcentral. Lineage: Eukaryota; Metazoa; Chordata; Actinopteri; Anguilliformes; Anguillidae.
GCCGUGUGGCGCAAUGGGUAGGGAACUGGUCUUGUAACCAAAAGGUCGCAGGUUCAAAUCCCGGGUAGGGCG